GAUGAAGAACGUAGUGAAAUGCGAUAAGUAGUGUGAAUUGCAGAAUUCAGUGAAUCAUCGAAUCUUUGAACGCACAUUGCGCCCCUCGGUAUUCCGUGGGGCAUGCCUGUUCGAGCGUCAUCUACACCCUCAAGCUCUGCUUGGUGUUGGGCGUCUGUCCCGCCUCCGCGCGUGGACUCGCCCCAAAUUCAUUGGCAGCGGUCCUUGCCUCCUCUCGCGCAGCACAUUGCGCUUCUUGAGGGGCUCCGGUUCGCGUCCAACAAGCACAUUUACCGUCUUUGACCUCGGAUCAGGUAGGAAUACCCGCUGAACUUAAGCAUAUCAAUAAGCGGAGGA
This 336-nucleotide unclassified non-coding RNA is filed under the name soil metagenome. Its description in RNAcentral is "partial contains 5.8S ribosomal RNA, internal transcribed spacer 2, and large subunit ribosomal RNA". The stretch from base 1 to 120 matches the Rfam family "5.8S ribosomal RNA", at positions 35 to 154 of the family's 154-position model. The record is from RNAcentral.